GAUGAACGCUGGCGGCGUGCCUAAUACAUGCAAGUCGAGCGAACAGACGAGGAGCUUGCUCCUCUGACGUUAGCGGCGGACGGGUGAGUAACACGUGGAUAACCUACCUAUAAGACUGGGAUAACUUCGGGAAACCGGAGCUAAUACCGGAUAAUAUAUUGAACCGCAUGGUUCAAUAGUGAAAGACGGUUUUGCUGUCACUUAUAGAUGGAUCCGCGCCGCAUUAGCUAGUUGGUAAGGUAACGGCUUACCAAGGCAACGAUGCGUAGCCGACCUGAGAGGGUGAUCGGCCACACUGGAAAUGAGACACGGUCCAGACUCCUACGGGAGGCAGCAGUAGGGAAUCUUCCGCAAUGGGCGAAAGCCUGACGGAGCAACGCCGCGUGAGUGAUGAAGGUCUUCGGAUCGUAAAACUCUGUUAUUAGGGAAGAACAAAUGUGUAAGUAACUAUGCACGUCUUGACGGUACCUAAUCAGAAAGCCACGGCUAAAUACGUGC
This 498-nucleotide ribosomal RNA is filed under the name uncultured bacterium. RNAcentral's name for it is "partial 16S ribosomal RNA". It matches the Rfam family "Bacterial small subunit ribosomal RNA", at positions 28 to 508 of the family's 1533-position model. The record is from RNAcentral.